AUUGAACGCUGGCGGCAGGCCUAACACAUGCAAGUCGAGCGGAUGAAGGGAGCUUGCUCCUGGAUUCAGCGGCGGACGGGUGAGUAAUGCCUAGGAAUCUGCCUGGUAGUGGGGGAUAACGUCCGGAAACGGGCGCUAAUACCGCAUACGUCCUGAGGGAGAAAGUGGGGGAUCUUCGGACCUCACGCUAUCCAAUGAGCCUAGGUCGGAUUAGCUAGUUGGUGGGGUAAAGGCCUACCAAGGCGACGAUCCGUAACUGGUCUGAGAGGAUGAUCAGUCACACUGGAACUGAGACACGGUCCAGACUCCUACGGGAGGCAGCAGUGGGGAAUAUUGGACAAUGGGCGAAAGCCUGAUCCAGCCAUGCCGCGUGUGUGAAGAAGGUCUUCGGAUUGUAAAGCACUUUAAGUUGGGAGGAAGGGCAGUAAGUUAAUACCUUGCUGUUUUGACGUUACCAACAGAAUAAGCACCGGCUAACUUCGUG
Molecule: ribosomal RNA, 484 nt
Filed under: uncultured bacterium
Lineage: Bacteria
Description: partial 16S ribosomal RNA
Rfam family: Bacterial small subunit ribosomal RNA
Source: RNAcentral